AGCGAACGCUGGCGGCAGGCCUAACACAUGCAAGUCGAGCGCCGUAGCAAUACGGAGCGGCAGACGGGAGAGUAACACGUGGGAACGUGCCCUUCAGUUCGGAACAACCCAGGGAAACUUGGGCUAAUACCGGAUAAGCCCUUACGGGGAAAGAUUUAUCGCUGAAGGAGCGGCCCGCGUCUGAUUAGCUUGUUGGUGAGGUAACGGCUCACCAAGGCGACGAUCAGUAGCUGGUCGAGAGGAUGAUCAGCCUCACUGGGACUGAGACACGGCCCAGACUCCUACGGGAGGCAGCAGUGGGGAAUAUUGGACAAUGGGCGCAAGCCUGAUCCAGCCAUGCCGCGUGGAUGAUGAAGGCCCUAGGGUUGUAAAGUCCUUUCGGCGGGAAGAUAAUGACGGUACCCGC
This 406-nucleotide ribosomal RNA is filed under the name uncultured bacterium. RNAcentral describes it as "bacterial SSU rRNA". It matches the Rfam family "Bacterial small subunit ribosomal RNA", at positions 29 to 482 of the family's 1533-position model. The record is from RNAcentral.